This 440-nucleotide ribosomal RNA is filed under the name Salmonella enterica subsp. enterica serovar Anatum. Its description in RNAcentral is "bacterial SSU rRNA". It matches the Rfam family "Bacterial small subunit ribosomal RNA", at positions 338 to 795 of the family's 1533-position model. Lineage: Bacteria; Pseudomonadati; Pseudomonadota; Gammaproteobacteria; Enterobacterales; Enterobacteriaceae. The record is from RNAcentral.
CCUACGGGAGGCAGCAGUGGGGGAUAUUGCACAAUGGGGGAAACCCUGAUGCAGCAACGCCGCGUGAGGGAAGACGGUCUUCGGAUUGUAAACCUCUGUCUUUGGGGACGAUAAUGACGGUACCCAAGGAGGAAGCUCCGGCUAACUACGUGCCAGCAGCCGCGGUAAUACGUAGGGAGCAAGCGUUGUCCGGAUUUACUGGGUGUAAAGGGUGCGUAGGCGGCUUUUUAAGUCGGGCGUGAAAGCUGUGGGCUUAACCCACAAAUUGCGUUCGAAACUGGAAGGCUUGAGUGAAGUAGAGGUAGGCGGAAUUCCCGGUGUAGCGGUGAAAUGCGUAGAGAUCGGGAGGAACACCAGUGGCGAAGGCGGCCUACUGGGCUUUAACUGACGCUGAGGCACGAAAGCAUGGGGAGCAAACAGGAUUAGAUACCCUUGUAGUC